Long non-coding RNA from Thrips palmi, 518 nucleotides. RefSeq lists it as uncharacterized. The record is from RefSeq and is a predicted model, not a curated record. NCBI's taxonomy places the organism in Eukaryota, Metazoa, Arthropoda, Insecta, Thysanoptera, Thripidae. The transcript has 2 exons.
GUGUCCAGGAUAGCCCCUCGCUUCGCCCUCGCCAGCGCCCUUCCGCCAGCCUCGCCGAGGUUCGCCGCCGCCAUGCCCGCCCCCGCGUCCGAGGCCGGCAGCCUCAUCAUGACCUACCUGAUCCUCAUCUUCCUGCUCGUCGCCCUCUGGGUCCUCUACGCGGGCCUGCUCUGAACGCGACGUGGCGCCAAGGCCAAGGUACCGAAGAUGCCAGCAAUCAGCUCUGGGGAAGGGCAAGGGCCCACUCAAGCCGACGCCUACACUGCCGAGGACACUCCCACGGGUCCGCACAUCCACAUCCCGAACCUACCUCAAAGGGGAUGCCAGCGAGAUCUCCCGACAAACUACUUAAUUUAUGAACUUGGAAGCAUUUCAAAGGAGUAAUUGUAAUGGGCUGCUCCUGUGAAGAAGCUGGAGUGAAAAUGUCUCUGAUGAAAUCAGGGAAGUGUGUACUGCUUUAAUAUAUUUUGUAAAGAAAAUUAGUAAAUAAAUGAUUUUAAGCAAUGCCAAGAUCCUUG